ACUAAACGUCCUUCGGUUUAAUUGAUUUUUGUCAGAAGCGAUUUGUAUAGGAUGAUUUAUAAUAUCAACGUUUCUGAUUAUAAACACGAACUUCUAUAAAUUGAUAACGAAUAAUUUUGAGAAAUUUUACUCAUCUCGUUUAUUAGACCUAAGUAUGAUUCUGCUCAAUUUAGUUUGGCAAAUAUCCACUUCAUCCAUGUGUGUUGAUUGUCGUGAUUAAGCGGAUCAUGUCUAGGACGGCUUCUGGAAUCGCUAUAAGUGUUUUGCAUGAAACUUCUUGGGGUUAAAUUUGGGGGAAAAAACUUACAAAGCGCGUCUAGAUAGUAGAAGCUAUUUUUAAGAAGCAUAUGUGCUAUGUGUAGCUUUAAGAAGAGUUUCCAAGUGCUUUAUUGAGAAACUCUUUGAAUAAAGUAAAAGAAAAAUGCUUAUGAGUAAAGUAAAAGAUAAGUGCUUAUGAGUAAAGUAUCUCGAGGCAAUAUUUAAUAAGUGUUCAUAUGCUUUAACAAAGUGGAAUUCAUUCCUACUAGUCUUCUGCUAAACUGACCUUAGGAUGAUUUAUAAUAUCAACGAUUCUGAUUAUAAACACGAACUUCUAUAAAUUGAUAACGAAUAAUUUUGAGAAAUUUUGAGUAUGGGUUUCUACUCAUCUCGAUUAUUAGACCUAAGUAUGAUUCUGCUCAAUUUAGUUUGGCAAAUAUCCACUUCAUCCAUGUGUGUUGAUUGUCGUGAUUAAGCGGAUGAUGUCUAGGACGGCUUCUAGAACCGCUAUAAGUGUUUUGCAUGAAACUUCUUGGGAUUAAAUUUGGAGGAAAAAACUUACAAAGCGCGUCUAGAUAGUAGAAGCUAUUUUUAAGAAGCAUAUGUGCUAUGUGUAGCUUUAAGAAGAGUUUCCAAGUUUCCAAGUUUCCAAGUGCUUUAUUGAGAAACUCUUUGAAUAAGUAAAAGAAAAAUGCUUAUGAGUAAAGUAAAAGAUAAGUGCUUAUGAGUAAAGUAUCUCGAGGCAAUAUUUAGUAAGUGUUCAUAUGCUUUAACAAAGUGGAAUUCAUUCUUACAAGUCUUCUGCUAAACUGACCUUAUUAGAAGCACAAUGAAAUUUUAUUGAAAAUGCUUUUAUGAUUCGUACAUACUUUUAUGAUACGUUUACGCAUGGGUAAUCGAAAUGGAAAAGUGGAAUUGAAUACGUGAAACAGUUUUAACAUGAAUCUGAUUCUACCAUAUUCCAACUCUUCAAUUCAAUUUCUUUUAUUUUGAAUACGGAAUAGUAAACAGCCUAUUAAAUUUUUCUGCCAAAUAUAAUCAAAAGUACUUUUGAUUGUUCUAAUGACAUUUUUAACUAUUUCAAAAGCAUUCCCUCCAUUUAACUUUGCUUCAAUUUUUUGUUGGUGAUGGACAGAAUUAGCAGUGCGGGGCUUGAACUAGCAAAUUUGCUGGUGACUUCUCCUCCCCUGCACCAGUCAUGGGACGCGGUUCAGAAGCAAAAGCUCCAGACAGCUGCUGAUCCGAAUGCACAAAUGGCCUUAUACAUUAGUGAAACCAAGCACUCAAACACCACCAUCAUAUCUUUUCUUACUUCACCAGUCAAGGUUCAAGAUCCACAAGCGAUGAUUUCAUCGAAGACUCUCAAGGACACAAAUUUUCUUCUCUUUGAGUUUUUGUGCAGCAAAAAAACCCCAAGUUUCUCCGUCAAUGAAUUGACAAUCAACUUCUUCGCGUUGAAUCACAUCAACCUCGACCUUCUGCGAACAAAGGUAUGUACUGUUAUCUCAAAUAAUUUUUUCCAAUUUUUGUCUAUUCUUCUCCUACUGAAUCAAACUUUUUCAUCGCUUUGACGACUAUUAAUUUUAGUGAGAAACGGUUCGAAAUGAUAUUUAUAAUGAUAGAUUACUUUCUACUUAAUUAGUUUGGCUUCUUUGACAACUCUUAAUAUUAGUGAGAAACACUUACAAACACCUCAUUAUUAGUGUUAUAAGAGCCGAAUGACGUAAAAUCGAUUCUAUUUUGUUUUGUUGUUGUUCAAAAUGGUGUUGAAUGUUAUUUUUUUUACCACGAAGGAACUUAUUUGUAAAAGACGUCUCCGAAUUAAUUAUAUAGCUAGCAGUUCAGUAAUUGACUAACUUCAUGCAAUAUUUCAGCUGGUAGAAAGCAGCAAUUCCAACUCAUCGAUACUUAUCACUGGACAUUCUUUUGGAGGCUGUGUAGCUACCCUUUUCACCUUAUGGCUGCUACAAAGCCUCAACUUGUCGAAAGCGAAGCGUCCCCUUUGCAUCACUUUUGGUUCACCCUUGACCGGUGACGAACAACUCCAACAAUGUGUGUUGCAAUUCUCAACUUGGAGUUCUUGCUUCUUGAAUGUAGCCUCUAUCAACGAUCCUGUACCUAAAGCCUUCCUAACAGCUUCGCAAGCAAGCAAUUACAAGCCUUUUGGAACAUUCCUAUUGUGCUCCGCUUCGGGUGGUUCUUGCUUUGAUGACCCUGAUGCCAUUUUGCAACUGUUGGUGGACACCGGCUCUCAGAGUGCUCAAAUUCAAGGUCCGAAUUUGGGGUUUCAGUAUUUUGAUUACGGACAGAUUUUGAGUGAUCUCAAGCUGAAGGCGUUUUCAAGAGAUGUCUUUGAGUUGGUUGAAGAGGAUAGAGUUCCACUUAAAGCUGGAAUUAAAACACAAUUGGCAGCAAUAUUUGGAGUUAAUAGCUCACAGGUAUCCAACUUUCCACACAAAUAUUUGAUUUGAUGAUGAUUCAGAGAAUGGUUUCUGCACAAACCUGUUUAUUUUUGUCUCUUGAUUUUCUGUUACUUUAUUUAAUCCGAAGAUUGGAAAUAAACACGGGUGUGCUGGGGGCAAUCACAUUCCAUGUUUUUUUCGACCUAUAUAUAUUUUUACUUCUACUAACUUUUUUCGCAAAUCAUUUUGUAAAAGUCAUUGCAGCAGCAACAACCCGACAUAAAUUUCGGCAAUCUGAUGCAAAAGAUGGAAACUCAAGAACGUAACCACGCAAUCCAGAAGACGCAGGUUUACAGUUCUUUCUGGAAAUUGAAUGAGAUUAAAAAGUACAUGGCCUACAUGGAAGGGUACAAGAAGGAGUCCAAAGAGAUGGGAAUUGGAUACUAUGACAGGUACAGAAACAAGCGUUGCUUGGGUGACAUUAAUGCCGAAGAGUACAAGAAGAAGCUCUCGAAUUACUGGGAGGACACUGUUGCGGAAGUUGAGAGCAAUCCCCAGAAAGAAGGAGCCACAAUGCGUACUCGUUUCCUAUUUGGUGGAACGAAUUACAGAAGGAUGAUCGAACCGCUUCACAUUGCAGAGUACUACAAGGAAGGUGGAAAAGAUUACAUAAAGGAAAGGCCUCGACAUUUCGUUCUGUUGGAGCAAUGGUUCAAUGAAGACGCGGAAAAGCAGAAGCCAGAGAGAGGGCAGAAAGAAAAGGAGAACCCCCAACUGCGUGGCGAAAGCAAGUCGAACUCAAAAGCGAAGAAUGUGGCUUCAAGUCUGAAUGAUGAUUCUUGUUUUUGGGUGCAUGUCGAGGAAGCGCAUAUCUUAUGCAAUGAACAAGCGAGUAAUCCAAAUGCCAAGCAAAUGCUGAUGGAAUUUGAGCAGUACGUGCUGAAUAAUCUCGAGAAGUUUGCAGUGACACCUGAUAUUUUCUUGGCCCAAAGCAGCUACAUGCAAUGGUGGAACGAGUACGAAAAAUGGAUGGGAAAUGACUAUUCCUCACCACUCGCCAAGGUCAUGAAGCGUCACACUUAUACCAAGUAUGCGGAGGGGGUCUCGGUUCUUGCCGAUAUAUAAUCCAAGAUAAUUAAGUUUUAAGCAAGUAAUUAAAUCAGAUAAAGCAAGAUUAGUUAUGCUGUAUUGCUCAUGAUCUUCAUAUAGAAAGUUGUGCAGUACUUGUAGGGCUUGUUGGUGCUACUACUCUCGAAUAUUUUUGUUUGUGUUUUCAUUUUGUUUUGGGCUCUACCUCUCUUGUACAAAGAAAAAGAAUGUGUGGGGGGUAUUGUUUAAUUACGAUGUUAUAAUUUCCACUUCAUCGUUGCAUUUUGAUUUCAUGUGAGGGCUAUCCUAAUCAGUAAUUGGAAUAAGUUAAGACUUGCGAUAAUCAUAGUUUAUGUUGUAUUAAUCUUGCUUAUGAAUCUAUAAAGUGCACAACUUAGUCUAGUUUCUUUGGCGUUUUUGCACAAAAUGUACACAAACUUCUAAUUUCUUUGGCUUUUUCACACAAUACGUAAUGUGUUAUCACGGAACAAAAAGAUAUAUACGUCAAGAUAGAUAGGCCCAUGACACAAUACUUAUAUUACAACUACAUAUAAGAGACUUGUUGAAUACUUAAGAGCAAGUCCACCCCUAAAAAUUUAGCGCCAGCACCCGUAUUUAUCCACUCAAGUGAACAGUAAUAUACUCCAGUGAACAAUAAUAGCCAAAGCAUCUCCACCCCUAACAAAAAAUAGCUUAGUCAAUUUUAUUAAAAUAUUAUUAUUUUUUAUUAUAAAAUAUUAUUAUUUUUAUUAUAAAAUAAUAAAAAUAAUAAUUUUAUUAAAAAAAAAAGAAGGAAAAGUCAGGAACCUCCACGGUUCUACUAGAACUCUCUAUACUCUCCCUCUACAUCCCCAAACGCCAAAUGCCACUCCUGACGCUAACUCGCUUCAACCUCCCUCUACAUCUCUCUCUCUCUCUCUCUGUUGGGUGGAGCUCUGCAAAAAUCCACCACCAUGUGCAAUGAUAAUCCCACCGGAUUCCAACUUUCCUUCCGGUUCACAAUCCCCAGUCUUUAUUCCUCCACAAUAUUUCAACCAUUUUGCCUAUCAAAUUCCCUAUCAAUCCAACCUCACUAACCCAAUUUGAUCUUUUCCUCAAUCGAUGGUUCCCUCGGCAGUAGUCGCCGCGGAUCCAGCCUAUCACCUACCCGACACCGACCCGUAUGACAAUUCGGGUUGGUACCCGUGGACCCGUGUUGGAUUUCGAGGUCAGACGCCUUUUGGUGAAGGCCUCGAAAUCUCCCACUGCCCCAGAAUCAACCUCAGCCCUUUGCGACGUGUUGAUCAUGUGGGAGGUUGAUGGCCCGACAUGUGGGUCUGUCGAUUUUAGGCCGGUCUCUUGCCUGGCUUGGGCUGGGUGUCGAUCAAAAUGCUCGGCUGGAGUGGAUAGCCUGGGUGUCGGGCUGGUUUUUUGGCUGGGUGCUGGCCUAUCAGUUCCCCGGUGGAACUGCUCUAAAGGAACACACAUUAUGUACGUGUUCUCAUGUUUUCAUUAUGUUCCAAUAACUCAUAAUAUAUAUAUCAUUCCGUUUUGUAAUUUAUGAUGAAAUCAUAUAUAUUUUAAGUAUAAACAAACACUUAUUUACACGAAAUAAUAAUAGAUUUAAUUAAAUCCGCCUAGUCUGCCUAGCUACCUGGACGCUAGGUCUCAGCCCACCGCUCGACUAAUCUGCGUUAACCAUAUUGUGUAGCUAGUCGGUGAAUUCAGACAAAAAAAACAGAAAGCUCAACGGCCAUUCCCUAUCCCUCAGAUUAACUCGUUAGAUUUCUUUGUAAAUUUCUUUGUAUUCUUCCGCGAAUGUUUAGUUGCUAAAAUCAAAUCAUGUAUUAAAUUACUCUGAAAUUUUCGUUACGGAUGAACAAGCUGGAAGCAACCGGGAAUGAAUAAUUAUCUGAACUUCAACACGUAAACGUAGAUAAGAAGACCGGAGGCAAAGCAUCGAGGCAAAAGGUCCAGCCCUCCCUCCUCCGGGAACCUUCCAGGAACAAGAUCCGUUAAUAUACUUUCCUGUGCAUUGUCGACUUGGCGGGAAAUUCCCUCGUGGGGACCUUUGAGACAAUGAAGUCCAUAAGAAUAAUAAUAGCUUUAGAACUGUUUCCUCUUCUAUAGAAAGGACACUGACCGUUCUGUUUUCCAAAUCUCUCAAUCUACUGUGUUUUUAAGCAGAUCGCCAAAAGCUUGAAGAUGAACAACCAGUAAGUUAACUUCAAACUCCUCCGAUCCUUGUUUUUCUUUGAAUCCUUUGUCAUUGAUUUUUCUUAUGGUUUAUUAGACCUAAUUAUGAUUCUGCUCAAUGUAGUUUGGCAAAUUUCCACUUCAUCCAUGUGUGUCGAUUGUCGUGAUUAAGCGGACAUGUCUAAGACGGCUUCUGGAAUGGCUAUAAGUGUUUUGCAUGAAACUUCUUAGGGUUAAUUUUGGGGGAAAAAACUUACAAAGCGUGUGUAGAUAGUAGAAGCUUUUUUUAAGAAGCAUAUGCGCUGUGUAGCUUCAAGAAGCAUUUCCAAGUUUCCAGAAACACUUGAGUAAAGUAAAACAAAAACGCUUAUGAGUAAAGUAAAAGAUAAGUGCUUAUGAGUAAAGUUUCUCGCGGAGGCAAUAUUUAAUAAAUGUUAAUAUGGUUUAACAAAGUGGAAUUUCAUUCUUACAAGUCUGACCUUAUUAGAAGCAUAAUUAAUUUUUAUAGAAAAUGCUUUUAUGAUUCGUACACACUUUUGUGACACGUUUUUAUUUAUUUUUUAUUUAUAAAGAAACGAUAUUAUCUACGCUAAAAGGACAGGGAUGAGCUUAACCUCAUAAUUGGCUAUCAAUAAUGUAGUUCAAAUUCGACUUUAACAAGAAUCGAACCUAAGACCUCUCACUUACAAGUAAAGAGGAAUACCACUAGACCGUAGUACUAAGUGACACUUCUAUGACACGUUUACGCAAGGGUAAUCGAAAUGAAAAAGCAUAAUUGAAUUUCAAUUACGGAGUACUCCAGUAUUUAUCAAAUAUUGUAAUCCAACUCCAAAAUUUGGAAAAAUUCAGUUAUCUACAAUUUUAUGGAAAUUAAAUUCCGGAUUAUUGGGGGAAUCGAAAUAAAUUGUUUCAAACCAUUAUACUCUCAUUUAUUUCCAAAAUUUUAAGAUUGUCCUUCGCAUUUACCCAACACCAAAUUUUGUUCCCUCAACAAAAAAAAAUGAAAAAUGAAAAGAAUUACAGUUUUUCUCACAAAGUUAAAAUAAAAAAAUGUUUUACCAAUAAAAUAAAAUAAAUAAAUAAAAAUUAGCAUAUAAAGUACAUUACUAGAAUUGAAGCAUUUUAGUAAUCACAUCGAUUUUCAUUCUGAUUCAUGUGAGUUUAUAAACAGUUUCUAUGGUUUAGUACUAUUUCUAAUUUGAUUUCUAAAAAUUUUAGUAAACAAUUUCAACAUGAAUUUGAUUCUAUCAUAUUCCAACUCUUCAAUUCAAUGCCUCAUCAACUCAAUUCCUUUAUUCUGAAUACGAAAUAGUAAACAACCUAUUAAAUUUUUCUGCCAAAUAUAAUCAAAAGUACUUUUGAUUGUUCCACUGACAUUUUUAACGACUUCAAAAGCAUUCCC
This 7326-nucleotide long non-coding RNA is filed under the name Malus domestica (apple). RNAcentral's name for it is "long non-coding RNA (MDOM_LNC017179)". Lineage: Eukaryota; Viridiplantae; Streptophyta; Magnoliopsida; Rosales; Rosaceae. The record is from RNAcentral.